CGAUGGGAGCUUGCUCCCAGGCGUCGAGCGGCGGACGGGUGAGUAACGCGUGGGAAUCUAUCCAGUAGCGGGGGAUAGCCCGGGGAAACCCGGAUUAAUACCGCAUACGCCCUACGGGGGAAAGCAGGGGAUCUUCGGACCUUGCACUAUUGGGUGAGCCCGCGUCGGAUUAGCUAGUUGGUGGGGUAAAGGCCUACCAAGGCGACGAUCCGUAGCUGGUCUGAGAGGAUGAUCAGCCACACUGGGACUGAGACACGGCCCAGACUCCUACGGGAGGCAGCAGUGGGGAAUAUUGCGCAAUGGGGGCAACCCUGACGCAGCCAUGCCGCGUGUGUGAAGAAGGCCUUAGGGUUGUAAAGCACUUUCAGUAAGGAGGAAAGGUUGUUGGUUAAUAACUAACAACUGUGACGUUACUUACAGAAGAAGCACCGGCUAACUCCGUGCCAGCAGCCGCGGUAAUACGGAGGGUGCGAGCGUUAAUCGGAAUGACUGGGCGUAAAGCGCGCGUAGGUGGUUUGUUAAGUUGGAUGUGAAAGCCCAGGGCUUAACCUUGGAACUGCAUUCAAAACUGGCAGACUAGAGUACGGUAGAGGGGGGUAGAAUUUCAGGUGUAGCGGUGAAAUGCGUAGAGAUCUGAAGGAAUACCAGUGGCGAAGGCGGCCCCCUGGACUGAUACUGACACUGAAGUGCGAAAGCGUGGGGAGCGAACAGGAUUAGAUACCCUGGUAGUCCACGCCGUAAACGAUGUCAACUAGCCGUUGGGAAGCUUGACUUCUUAGUGGCGCAGCUAACGCAAUAAGUUGACCGCCUGGGGAGUACGGCCGCAAGGUUAAAACUCAAAUGAAUUGACGGGGGCCCGCACAAGCGGUGGAGCAUGUGGUUUAAUUCGAUGCAACGCGAAGAACCUUACCAGGUCUUGACAUCCCGAGAAGUUACCAGAGAUGGUUUCGUGCCUUCGGGAACUCGGUGACAGGUGCUGCAUGGCUGUCGUCAGCUCGUGUCGUGAGAUGUUGGGUUAAGUCCCGUAACGAGCGCAACCCUUGUCCUUAGUUGCCAGCACGUAAUGGUGGGAACUCUAAGGAGACUGCCGGUGACAACCGGAGGAAGGUGGGGAAGACGUCAAGUCAUCAUGGCCCUUACGACCGGGGCUACACACGUGCUACAAUGGUCGGUACAGAGGGUUGCCAAGCCGCGAGGUGGAGCCAAUCCCAGAAAACCGAUCGUA
RNAcentral lists this ribosomal RNA (1225 nucleotides) under uncultured prokaryote. Its description in RNAcentral is "partial 16S ribosomal RNA". It matches the Rfam family "Bacterial small subunit ribosomal RNA", at positions 69 to 1290 of the family's 1533-position model. The record is from RNAcentral.